RNAcentral lists this ribosomal RNA (253 nucleotides) under uncultured bacterium. Its description in RNAcentral is "partial 16S ribosomal RNA". It matches the Rfam family "Bacterial small subunit ribosomal RNA", at positions 524 to 776 of the family's 1533-position model. The record is from RNAcentral.
UACGUAGGGCGCAAGCGUUAUCCGGAAUUAUUGGGCGUAAAGAGCUCGUAGGCGGUUUGUCGCGUCUGCCGUGAAAGUCCGGGGCUCAACUCCGGAUCUGCGGUGGGUACGGGCAGACUAGAGUACUGCAGGGGAGACUGGAAUUCCUGGUGUAGCGGUGGAAUGCGCAGAUAUCAGGAGGAACACCAGUGGCGAAGGCGCCUGUCUGGCUGACAACUGACGCUGAGACUCGAAAGCAUGGGGAGCAAACAGG